Molecule: ribosomal RNA, 221 nt
Filed under: uncultured Glomus
Lineage: Eukaryota; Fungi; Glomeromycota; Glomeromycetes; Glomerales; Glomeraceae
Description: partial 28S large subunit ribosomal RNA
Rfam family: Eukaryotic large subunit ribosomal RNA
Source: RNAcentral
GAAGAAACGUUUUCUGCAUCCAGGAUUAGCCUAAAUCCUUUGGGAUAAGGUAUCAUGGAGGGUGAGAAUCCCGUUCAUGGUUAAUCUUAAGGAUGCUCUACGAUACGUUCUCCAAGAGUCGAGUUGUUUGGGAUUGCAGCUCAAAAUGGGAGGUAAAUUUCUCCUAAGGCUAAAUAUUGGCGAGAGACCGAUAGCGAACAAGCACCGUGAGGGAAAGAUGA